GGAUAGUUCAGUUAGUUAGAGCGGGGUGCUGAUAACUCCCACGGUUGUGGGUUCGAUUCCCCAUAUGCGACG
Molecule: non-coding RNA, 72 nt
Organism: Podarcis lilfordi (Lilford's wall lizard)
Lineage: Eukaryota; Metazoa; Chordata; Lepidosauria; Squamata; Lacertidae
Source: the annotation of a GenBank genome assembly